RNAcentral lists this ribosomal RNA (328 nucleotides) under uncultured bacterium. RNAcentral's name for it is "bacterial SSU rRNA". It matches the Rfam family "Bacterial small subunit ribosomal RNA", at positions 30 to 334 of the family's 1533-position model. The record is from RNAcentral.
AUUGAACGCUGGCGGCAGGCCUAACACAUGCAAGUCGAGCGGAAACGAGUUAACUGAACCUUCGGGGAACGUUAACGGCGUCGAGCGGCGGACGGGUGAGUAAUGCCUGGGAAAUUGCCCUGAUGUGGGGGAUAACCAUUGGAAACGAUGGCUAAUACCGAAUGAAAUUCAUUAGUCAAAAGGCUUUUGAAGGAAAGGCGCUGAGGCGUCGCAAGGAGAUGAGUCCGCGGCCCAUUAGCUAGACGGCAGGGUAAAAGCCUACCGUGGCAAUGAUGGGUAGCCGGCCUGAGAGGGUGAUCGGCCACAUUGGAACUGAGAUACGGUCCAG